Molecule: ribosomal RNA, 1798 nt
Filed under: Escherichia coli
Lineage: Bacteria; Pseudomonadati; Pseudomonadota; Gammaproteobacteria; Enterobacterales; Enterobacteriaceae
Description: partial 23S ribosomal RNA
Rfam family: Bacterial large subunit ribosomal RNA
Source: RNAcentral
UUGUGAGGUUAAGCGACUAAGCGUACACGGUGGAUGCCCUGGCAGUCAGAGGCGAUGAAGGACGUGCUAAUCUGCGAUAAGCGUCGGUGAGGUGAUAUGAACCGUUAUAACCGGCGAUUUCCGAAUGGGGAAACCCAGUGUGUUUCGACACACUAUCAUUAACUGAAUCCAUAGGUUAAUGAGGCGAACCGGGGGAACUGAAACAUCUAAGUACCCCGAGGAAAAGAAAUCAACCGAGAUUCCCCCAGUAGCGGCGAGCGAACGGGGAGGAGCCCAGAGCCUGAAUCAGUGUGUGUGUUAGUGGAAGCGUCUGGAAAGGCGCGCGAUACAGGGUGACAGCCCCGUACACAAAAAUGCACAUAUUGUGAGCUCGAUGAGUAGGGCGGGACACGUGGUAUCCUGUCUGAAUAUGGGGGGACCAUCCUCCAAGGCUAAAUACUCCUGACUGACCGAUAGUGAACCAGUACCGUGAGGGAAAGGCGAAAAGAACCCCGGCGAGGGGAGUGAAAAAGAACCUGAAACCGUGUACGUACAAGCAGUGGGAGCCUCUUAAUGGGGUGACUGCGUACCUUUUGUAUAAUGGGUCAGCGACUUAUAUUCUGUAGCAAGGUUAACCGAAUAGGGGAGCCGAAGGGAAACCGAGUCUUAACUGGGCGUUAAGUUGCAGGGUAUAGACCCGAAACCCGGUGAUCUAGCCAUGGGCAGGUUGAAGGUUGGGUAACACUAACUGGAGGACCGAACCGACUAAUGUUGAAAAAUUAGCGGAUGACUUGUGGCUGGGGGUGAAAGGCCAAUCAAACCGGGAGAUAGCUGGUUCUCCCCGAAAGCUAUUUAGGUAGCGCCUCGUGAAUUCAUCUCCGGGGGUAGAGCACUGUUUCGGCAAGGGGGUCAUCCCGACUUACCAACCCGAUGCAAACUGCGAAUACCGGAGAAUGUUAUCACGGGAGACACACGGCGGGUGCUAACGUCCGUCGUGAAGAGGGAAACAACCCAGACCGCCAGCUAAGGUCCCAAAGUCAUGGUUAAGUGGGAAACGAUGUGGGAAGGCCCAGACAGCCAGGAUGUUGGCUUAGAAGCAGCCAUCAUUUAAAGAAAGCGUAAUAGCUCACUGGUCGAGUCGGCCUGCGCGGAAGAUGUAACGGGGCUAAACCAUGCACCGAAGCUGCGGCAGCGACACUAUGUGUUGUUGGGUAGGGGAGCGUUCUGUAAGCCUGUGAAGGUGUACUGUGAGGUAUGCUGGAGGUAUCAGAAGUGCGAAUGCUGACAUAAGUAACGAUAAAGCGGGUGAAAAGCCCGCUCGCCGGAAGACCAAGGGUUCCUGUCCAACGUUAAUCGGGGCAGGGUGAGUCGACCCCUAAGGCGAGGCCGAAAGGCGUAGUCGAUGGGAAACAGGUUAAUAUUCCUGUACUUGGUGUUACUGCGAAGGGGGGACGGAGAAGGCUAUGUUGGCCGGGCGACGGUUGUCCCGGUUUAAGCGUGUAGGCUGGUUUUCCAGGCAAAUCCGGAAAAUCAAGGCUGAGGCGUGAUGACGAGGCACUACGGUGCUGAAGCGACAAAUGCCCUGCUUCCAGGAAAAGCCUCUAAGCAUCAGGUAACAUCAAAUCGUACCCCAAACCGACACAGGUGGUCAGGUAGAGAAUACCAAGGCGCUUGAGAGAACUCGGGUGAAGGAACUAGGCAAAAUGGUGCCGUAACUUCGGGAGAAGGCACGCUGAUAUGUAGGUGAAGCGACUUGCUCGUGGAGCUGAAAUCAGUCGAAGAUACCAGCUGGCUGCAACUGUUUAUUAAAAACACAGCA